GACGAACGCUGGCGGCGUGCUUAACACAUGCAAGUCGAGCGGUAAGGCCCUUUCGGGGGUACACGAGCGGCGAACGGGUGAGUAACACGUGGGUGACCUGCCCUCAGCUCUGGGAUAAGCCUGGGAAAACCGGGUCUAAUACUGGAUAUGACUCCAUGACGCAUGUUGUGGGGUGGAAAGCCUUGUGCGGCUAGAGAUGGGCCCGCGGCCUAUCAGCUUGUUGGUGGGGGAUGGCCUACCAAGGCGACGACGGGUAGCCGGCCUGAGAGGGCGACCGGCCACACUGGGACUGAGACACGGCCCAGACUCCUACGGGAGGCAGCAGUGGGGAAUCUUGCGCAAUGGGCGAAAGCCUGACGCAGCAACGCCGCGUGAGGGAUGACGGCCU
This 388-nucleotide ribosomal RNA is filed under the name uncultured bacterium. RNAcentral's name for it is "bacterial SSU rRNA". It matches the Rfam family "Bacterial small subunit ribosomal RNA", at positions 28 to 417 of the family's 1533-position model. The record is from RNAcentral.